UCACCUCUGCUGAACUGAGUCGCUUGUCGGAACAACAGCACCACCACAGCCGACGCGGCUCCGCCGCAAACGGCGGAUCGUCGCCGGAAAACGGCACCGCGCCGUUUCUGCUCCGUCUCACCUGGUUCCACCGCCACGCCGCCGCACGGCGGCGGCUCUCCUCCGUCACUCCCUCUCUUUCUCAAUAUCUCUCUCUGCUGCUCGAACCACCAACCAGCACCACCCGGUUCUCUGUGGUUGUCGCCGAAGUUUGCUGUUCGUCCGAAAAGAUCAACAUGAGGGGGAGAGGGUGUUGUCGGCUGGUAACACCGCCGACAGCCGGCGCUUAACAAGCUCUGGUCGUCGACCAGUAGCAUCACGAGAGAGAGCAAGUGGGCAGUUGGUUUUGUGAGUGAAAUGUGUUUUGUGUGUAUUUAAUUGUGCUUGUAGAUGAAAGGGUUUGUUUGUGAGGAGGAUAAUUGUGUUGUUUUGUGUGUGUGUGUACAUAUAAUCGAGUGAGAGAGAGAGAGAGGCAGAUUGUAAGUUUAUGUUUGUUUGUGUAUUAAUAGAGUGAGGGUAAGAUGGAAGUUUUUAUUGUCUUUUAUGCAUACAAAUUACAUUUAGGUCAAAUGUUUUAUCUUUUGAGAUUUGUAGAGAUUGCAGAGAUCUUAUAAGAUGUGAUCUUAUACGAUGUUAUUUGAUUAG
Molecule: long non-coding RNA, 684 nt
Filed under: Helianthus annuus (common sunflower)
Lineage: Eukaryota; Viridiplantae; Streptophyta; Magnoliopsida; Asterales; Asteraceae
Description: hypothetical non coding rna
Source: RNAcentral